RNAcentral lists this ribosomal RNA (1500 nucleotides) under metagenome. RNAcentral describes it as "bacterial SSU rRNA". It matches the Rfam family "Bacterial small subunit ribosomal RNA". The record is from RNAcentral.
AGAGUUUGAUCAUGGCUCAGAUUGAACGCUGGCGGCAGGCCUAACACAUGCAAGUCGAACGGUAACAGGAAGCAGCUUGCUGCUUCGCUGACGAGUGGCGGACGGGUGAGUAAUGUCUGGGAAGCUGCCUGAUGGAGGGGGAUAACUACUGGAAACGGUAGCUAAUACCGCAUAAUGUCGCAAGACCAAAGAGGGGGACCUUCGGGCCUCUUGCCAUCGGAUGUGCCCAGAUGGGAUUAGCUUGUUGGUGGGGUAACGGCUCACCAAGGCGACGAUCCCUAGCUGGUCUGAGAGGAUGACCAGCCACACUGGAACUGAGACACGGUCCAGACUCCUACGGGAGGCAGCAGUGGGGAAUAUUGCACAAUGGGCGCAAGCCUGAUGCAGCCAUGCCGCGUGUAUGAAGAAGGCCUUCGGGUUGUAAAGUACUUUCAGCGGGGAGGAAGGGAGUAAAGUUAAUACCUUUGCUCAUUGACGUUACCCGCAGAAGAAGCACCGGCUAACUCCGUGCCAGCAGCCGCGGUAAUACAGAGGGUGCAAGCGUUAAUCGGAAUUACUGGGCGUAAAGCGCACGCAGGCGGUUUGUUAAGUCAGAUGUGAAAUCCCCGGGCUCAACCUGGGAACUGCAUCUGAUACUGGCAAGCUUGAGUCUCGUAGAGGGGGGUAGAAUUCCAGGUGUAGCGGUGAAAUGCGUAGAGAUCUGGAGGAAUACCGGUGGCGAAGGCGGCCCCCUGGACGAAGACUGACGCUCAGGUGCGAAAGCGUGGGGAGCAAACAGGAUUAGAUACCCUGGUAGUCCACGCCGUAAACGAUGUCGACUUGGAGGUUGUGCCCUUGAGGCGUGGCUUCCGGAGCUAACGCGUUAAGUCGACCGCCUGGGGAGUACGGCCGCAAGGUUAAAACUCAAAUGAAUUGACGGGGGCCCGCACAAGCGGUGGAGCAUGUGGUUUAAUUCGAUGCAACGCGAAGAACCUUACCUGGUCUUGACAUCCACGGAAGUUUUCAGAGAUGAGAAUGUGCCUUCGGGAACCGUGAGACAGGUGCUGCAUGGCUGUCGUCAGCUCGUGUUGUGAAAUGUUGGGUUAAGUCCCGCAACGAGCGCAACCCUUAUCCUUUGUUGCCAGCGGUCCGGCCGGGAACUCAAAGGAGACUGCCAGUGAUAAACUGGAGGAAGGUGGGGAUGACGUCAAGUCAUCAUGGCCCUUACGACCAGGGCUACACACGUGCUACAAUGGCGCAUACAAAGAGAAGCGACCUCGCGAGAGCAAGCGGACCUCAUAAAGUGCGUCGUAGUCCGGAUUGGAGUCUGCAACUCGACUCCAUGAAGUCGGAAUCGCUAGUAAUCGUGGAUCAGAAUGCCACGGUGAAUACGUUCCCGGGCCUUGUACACACCGCCCGUCACACCAUGGGAGUGGGUUGCAAAAGAAGUAGGUAGCUUAACCUUCGGGAGGGCGCUUACCACUUUGUGAUUCAUGACUGGGGUGAAGUCGGAACAAGGUA